GAGUUUUGAUCCUGGCUCAGAUUGAACGCUGGCGGCAUGCUUUACACAUGCAAGUCGAACGGCAGCACAGGGAGCUUGCUCCCGGGUGGCGAGUGGCGCACGGGUGAGUAAUACAUCGGAACGUGUCCUGUUGUGGGGGGAUAACUGCUCGAAAGGGUGGCUAAUACCGCAUGAGACCUGAGGGUGAAAGCGGGGGAUCGUAAGACCUCGCGCAAUUGGAGCGGCCGAUGCCCGAUUAGCUAGUUGGUGAGGUAAAGGCUCACCAAGGGCGACGAUCGGUAGCUGGUCUGAGGAGGACGACCAGCCACCACUGGGACUGAGACACGGCCCAGACUCCUACGGGAGGCAGCA
Molecule: ribosomal RNA, 351 nt
Filed under: uncultured bacterium
Lineage: Bacteria
Description: bacterial SSU rRNA
Rfam family: Bacterial small subunit ribosomal RNA
Source: RNAcentral